RNAcentral lists this ribosomal RNA (253 nucleotides) under uncultured bacterium. Its description in RNAcentral is "partial 16S ribosomal RNA". It matches the Rfam family "Bacterial small subunit ribosomal RNA", at positions 524 to 776 of the family's 1533-position model. The record is from RNAcentral.
CACGUAGGGGCCAAGCGUUGUCCGGAAUUAUUGGGCGUAAAGAGCUUGUAGGCGGCUUGUCGCGUCUGCCGUGAAAAUCCGGGGCUCAACCCCGGACUUGCGGUGGGUACGAGCAGACUAGAGUGUGGUAGGGGAGACUGGAAUUCCUGGUGUAGCGGUGAAAUGCGCAGAUAUCAGGAGGAACACCGGUGGCGAAGGCGGUUCUCUGGGCCGUACCUGACGCUGAGGAGCGAAAGCGUGGGGAGCGAACAGG